Molecule: long non-coding RNA, 377 nt
Organism: Labrus mixtus (cuckoo wrasse)
Lineage: Eukaryota; Metazoa; Chordata; Actinopteri; Labriformes; Labridae
Exons: 3
Source: RefSeq, a predicted model, not a curated record
UAACUUGUGUUUGUCAACCAUUUUUUGACUUACAUUUAACAUACUCUCAACUAUAUCCAACAUUUUACUUUCACCCUACACAACCUUUUUUUUUGUUCAUAUCUGCUUAAAUUGAAAAUCAAAAGUAAAUCAAAAGUACACAGAAACUGGUCUCAGGGUAACCAUGAUGGAGCACUUGUGCAUCCCUAAAAGCAUCUCAGUUAAAUGUAUAGGUCAGAUUGUUAACAUAAACUUUGAAGGGUGGAUACCCACGAGAUCCAGUUCUGUUGCUAUAAUAAGCUGGCACAUGUACAAGCUGGUGGACAAUUAACCCCUUAAUACAGUUGCAAUGAAAGAGCAAAAGAGCAAUACUAGUUGUAUUGUCUGACUGCAUUUUU